GAUGAACGUUGGCGGCGUGCCUAACACAUGCAAGUCGAGCGCUAGUAGCAAUAUUAGAGUGGCGCACGGGUGAGUAACACGUAGCUUAUCUACCUCCCAGCGCGGGAUAACGGUUCGAAAGAACUGCUAAUACCGCAUAAGCUCACGAGCUAUAGAGGCUGGUGAGAAAAGGCUUAAGGUCACUGGGAGCGGGGGCUGCGGCCCAUCAGCUAGUUGGUGAGGUAACGGCUUACCAAGGCGACGACGGGUAGGGGACCUGAGAGGGU
This 266-nucleotide ribosomal RNA is filed under the name uncultured bacterium. RNAcentral describes it as "partial 16S ribosomal RNA". It matches the Rfam family "Bacterial small subunit ribosomal RNA", at positions 28 to 301 of the family's 1533-position model. The record is from RNAcentral.